GAUGAAGAACGUAGUGAAAUGCGAUAAGUAAUGUGAAUUGCAGAAUUCAGUGAAUCAUCGAAUCUUUGAACGCACAUUGCGCCCCUUGGUAUUCCAUGGGGCAUGCCUGUUCGAGCGUCAUUUGUACCUUCAAGCUUUGCUUGGUGUUGGGUGUUUGUCUCGCCUCCGCGUGUAGACUCGCCUCAAAACAAUUGGCAGCCGGCGUAUUGAUUUCGGAGCGCAGUACAUCUCGCGCUUUGCACUCACAACGACGACGUCCAAAAGUACAUUUUUACACUCUUGACCUCGGAUCAGGUAGGGAUACCCGCUGAACUUAAGCAUAUCAAUAAGCGGAGGA
This 337-nucleotide unclassified non-coding RNA is filed under the name soil metagenome. RNAcentral describes it as "partial contains 5.8S ribosomal RNA, internal transcribed spacer 2, and large subunit ribosomal RNA". The stretch from base 1 to 120 matches the Rfam family "5.8S ribosomal RNA", at positions 35 to 154 of the family's 154-position model. The record is from RNAcentral.